RNAcentral lists this ribosomal RNA (759 nucleotides) under Mycetocola manganoxydans. RNAcentral describes it as "bacterial SSU rRNA". It matches the Rfam family "Bacterial small subunit ribosomal RNA", at positions 68 to 838 of the family's 1533-position model. Lineage: Bacteria; Bacillati; Actinomycetota; Actinomycetes; Micrococcales; Microbacteriaceae. The record is from RNAcentral.
GAUGAACUCCAGCUUGCUGGGGGGAUUAGUGGCGAACGGGUGAGUAACACGUGAGUAACCUGCCCUUGACUCUGGGAUAAGCGUUGGAAACGACGUCUAAUACCGGAUACGACCAGCCUCGGCAUCGAGUGUUGGUGGAAAGAAUUUUGGUCAAGGAUGGACUCGCGGCCUAUCAGGUAGUUGGUGAGGUAAUGGCUCACCAAGCCUACGACGGGUAGCCGGCCUGAGAGGGUGACCGGCCACACUGGGACUGAGACACGGCCCAGACUCCUACGGGAGGCAGCAGUGGGGAAUAUUGCACAAUGGGCGAAAGCCUGAUGCAGCAACGCCGCGUGAGGGAUGACGGCCUUCGGGUUGUAAACCUCUUUUAGCAGGGAAGAAGCGAAAGUGACGGUACCUGCAGAAAAAGCACCGGCUAACUACGUGCCAGCAGCCGCGGUAAUACGUAGGGUGCAAGCGUUGUCCGGAAUUAUUGGGCGUAAAGAGCUCGUAGGCGGUUUGUCGCGUCUGCUGUGAAAACUGGAGGCUCAACCUCCAGCCUGCAGUGGGUACGGGCAGACUAGAGUGCGGUAGGGGAGAUUGGAAUUCCUGGUGUAGCGGUGGAAUGCGCAGAUAUCAGGAGGAACACCGAUGGCGAAGGCAGAUCUCUGGGCCGUAACUGACGCUGAGGAGCGAAAGGGUGGGGAGCAAACAGGCUUAGAUACCCUGGUAGUCCACCCCGUAAACGUUGGGAACUAGAUGUGGGGACCAUUCCACGGU